GGGGAAUGCCAUGGCUGAUGGGGAAAGCUUGACUUAGGAACCAAGGGCACGGACUUGGCACAGAGCCGGGAUGUUUGAUAGAGCACCAAUGCUUUUCAGAGGGUGCCUCAUUAGUGAACCGUGGCACAGAUCAGGCCUCAG
Molecule: long non-coding RNA, 141 nt
Filed under: Struthio camelus australis
Lineage: Eukaryota; Metazoa; Chordata; Aves; Struthioniformes; Struthionidae
Description: lncRNA (ENSSCUG00000000297.1)
Source: RNAcentral